Non-coding RNA from Podarcis lilfordi (Lilford's wall lizard), 73 nucleotides. Lineage: Eukaryota; Metazoa; Chordata; Lepidosauria; Squamata; Lacertidae. The record is from the annotation of a GenBank genome assembly.
GGAGGACCAUAGCUCAGUGGUAGAGCAUCUGCUUUGCAUACAGAAGGUCUCUGGUUCAGUCCCAGCAUCUCCA